CGUUAAGUUGCAGGGUAUAGACCCGAAACCCGGUGAUCUAGCCAUGGGCAGGUUGAAGGUUGGGUAACACUAACUGGAGGACCGAACCGACUAAUGUUGAAAAAUUAGCGGAUGACCUGUGGCUGGGGGUGAAAGGCCAAUCAAACCGGGAGAUAGCUGGUUCUCCCCGAAAGCUAUUUAGGUAGCGCCUCGUGAAUUCAUCUCCGGGGGUAGAGCACUGUUUCGGCUAGGGGGCCAUCCCGGCUUACCAACCCGAUGCAAACUGCGAAUACCGGAGAAUGUUAUCACGGGAGACACACGGCGGGUGCUAACGUCCGUCGUGAAGAGGGAAACAACCCAGACCGCCAGCUAAGGUCCCAAAGUCAUGGUUAAGUGGGAAACGAUGUGGGAAGGCCCAGACAGCCAGGAUGUUGGCUUAGAAGCAGCCAUCAUUUAAAGAAAGCGUAAUAGCUCACUGGUCGAGUCGGCCUGCGCGGAAGAUGUAACGGGGCUAAACCAUGCACCGAAGCUGCGGCAGCGACGCUGAUGCGUUGUUGGGUAGGGGAGCGUUCUGUAAGCCUGCGAAGGUGGCCUGUGAGGGUUGCUGGAGGUAUCAGAAGUGCGAAUGCUGACAUAAGUAACGAUAAAGCGGGUGAAAAGCCCGCUCGCCGGAAGACCAAGGGUUCCUGUCCAACGUUAAUCGGGGCAGGGUGAGUCGACCCCUAAGGCGAGGCCGAAAGGCGUAGUCGAUGGGAAACGGGUUAAUAUUCCCGUACUUGGUGUUACUGCGAAGGGGGGACGGAGAAGGCUAUGUUGGCCGGGCGACGGUUGUCCCGGUUUAAGCGUGUAGGUGUGUGUUCCAGGUAAAUCCGGUUCACUUUAACACUGAGGCGUGAUGACGAGGCACUACGGUGCUGAAGCAACAAAUGCCCUGCUUCCAGGAAAAGCCUCUAAGCAUCAGGUAACAUCAAAUCGUACCCCAAACCGACACAGGUGGUCAGGUAGAGAAUACCAAGGCGCUUGAGAGAACUCGGGUGAAGGAACUAGGCAAAAUGGUGCCGUAACUUCGGGAGAAGGCACGCUGACACGUAGGUGAAGUGAUUUACUCAUGGAGCUGAAGUCAGUCGAAGAUACCAGCUGGCUGCAACUGUUUAUUAAAAACACAGCACUGUGCAAACACGAAAGUGGACGUAUACGGUGUGACGCCUGCCCGGUGCCGGAAGGUUAAUUGAUGGGGUCAGCGCAAGCGAAGCUCCUGAUCGAAGCCCCGGUAAACGGCGGCCGUAACUAUAACGGUCCUAAGGUAGCGAAAUUCCUUGUCGGGUAAGUUCCGACCUGCACGAAUGGCGUAAUGAUGGCCAGGCUGUCUCCACCCGAGACUCAGUGAAAUUGAACUCGCUGUGAAGAUGCAGUGUACCCGCGGCAAGACGGAAAGACCCCGUGAACCUUUACUAUAGCUUGACACUGAACAUUGAGCCUUGAUGUGUAGGAUAGGUGGGAGGCUUUGAAGUGUGGACGCCAGUCUGCAUGGAGCCGACCUUGAAAUACCACCCUUUAAUGUUUGAUGUUCUAACGUGGACCCGUGAUCCGGGUUGCGGACAGUGUCUGGUGGGUAGUUUGACUGGGGCGGUCUCCUCCUAAAGAGUAACGGAGGAGCACGAAGGUUGGCUAAUCCUGGUCGGACAUCAGGAGGUUAGUGCAAUGGCAUAAGCCAGCUUGACUGCGAGCGUGACGGCGCGAGCAGGUGCGAAAGCAGGUCAUAGUGAUCCGGUGGUUCUGAAUGGAAGGGCCAUCGCUCAACGGAUAAAAGGUACUCCGGGGAUAACAGGCUGAUACCGCCCAAGAGUUCAUAUCGACGGCGGUGUUUGGCACCUCGAUGUCGGCUCAUCACAUCCUGGGGCUGAAGUAGGUCCCAAGGGUAUGGCUGUUCGCCAUUUAAAGUGGUACGCGAGCUGGGUUUAGAACGUCGUGAGACAGUUCGGUCCCUAUCUGCCGUGGGCGCUGGAGAACUGAGGGGGGCUGCUCCUAGUACGAGAGGACCGGAGUGGACGCAUCACUGGUGUUCGGGUUGUCAUGCCAAUGGCACUGCCCGGUAGCUAAAUGCGGAAGAGAUAAGUGCUGAAAGCAUCUAAGCACGAAACUUGCCCCGAGAUGAGUUCUCCCUGAGACUUUAGGUCUCCUGAAGGAACGUUGAAGACGACGACGUUGAUAGGCCGGGUGUGUAAGCGCAGCGAUGCGUUGAGCUAACCGGUACUAAUGAACCGUGAGGCUUAACCUUACA
Molecule: ribosomal RNA, 2260 nt
Filed under: Salmonella enterica
Lineage: Bacteria; Pseudomonadati; Pseudomonadota; Gammaproteobacteria; Enterobacterales; Enterobacteriaceae
Also listed under: 1 other name
Description: partial 23S ribosomal RNA
Rfam family: Bacterial large subunit ribosomal RNA
Source: RNAcentral